Molecule: ribosomal RNA, 252 nt
Filed under: uncultured bacterium
Lineage: Bacteria
Description: partial 16S ribosomal RNA
Rfam family: Bacterial small subunit ribosomal RNA
Source: RNAcentral
UACGUAGGCAGCAAGCGUUGUUCGGAGUUACUGGGCGUAAAGGGUGCGUAGGCGGCUUUUUAAGUUUGGUGUGAAAUCUCCCGGCUCAACUGGGAGGGUGCGCCGAAUGCUGAGAGGCUAGAGUGUGGGAGAGGAAAGUGGAAUUCCUGGUGUAGCGGUGAAAUGCGUAGAUAUCAGGAGGAACACCGGUGUGUAAACGGCUUUCUGGACCAUAACUGACGCUGAUGCACGAAAGCGUGGGUAGCAAACAGG